RNAcentral lists this ribosomal RNA (420 nucleotides) under Fusobacteriota bacterium. RNAcentral describes it as "Fusobacteria bacterium partial 16S ribosomal RNA". It matches the Rfam family "Bacterial small subunit ribosomal RNA", at positions 355 to 776 of the family's 1533-position model. Lineage: Bacteria; Fusobacteriati; Fusobacteriota. The record is from RNAcentral.
UGGGGGAUAUUGCACAAUGGGCGAAAGCCUGAUGCAGCGACGCCGCGUGGGGGAUGAAGGCCUUCGGGUUGUAAACUUCUUUUGCUUUGAACAAGGCAUGCUUUUGGGGUGUGUUGAGUGUAGGGGUGGAUUAGCGCCGGCUAACUACGUGCCAGCAGUCGCGGUAAUACGUAGGGCGAGAGCGUUGUCCGGAAUUAUUGGGCGUAAUGGGCUUGUAGGUGGCUGGUUGCGUCUGUCGUGAAAGCUCAUGGCUUAACUGUGGGUUUGCGGUGGGUACGGGCUGGCUUGAGUGCAGUAGGGGAGGCUGGAAUUCCUGGUGUAGCGGUGGAAUGCGCAGUUAUCAGGAGGAAUGCCGGUGGCGAAGGCGGGUCUCUGGGCUGUUACUGACGCUGAGGAGCGAAAGCGUCGGGAGCGAACAGG